UAGGGAAUCUUCGGCAAUGGGGGCAACCCUGACCGAGCAACGCCGCGUGAGUGAAGAAGGUUUUCGGAUCGUAAAGCUCUGUUGUAAGUCAAGAACGAGUGUGAGAGUGGAAAGUUCACACUGUGACGGUAGCUUACCAGAAAGGGACGGCUAACUACGUGCCAGCAGCCGCGGUAAUACGUAGGUCCCGAGCGUUGUCCGGAUUUAUUGGGCGUAAAGCGAGCGCAGGCGGUUUGAUAAGUCUGAAGUUAAAGGCUGUGGCUCAACCAUAGUUCGCUUUGGAAACUGUCAAACUUGAGUGCAGAAGGGGAGAGUGGAAUUCCAUGUGUAGCGGUGAAAUGCGUAGAUAUAUGGAGGAACACCGGUGGCGAAAGCGGCUCUCUGGUCUGUAACUGACGCUGAGGCUCGAAAGCGUGGGGAGCGAACAGGAUUAGAUACCCUGGUAGUCCACGCCGUANCGAUGAGUGCUAGGUGUUGGAUCCUUUCCGGGAUUCAGUGCCGCAGCUAANGCANUANNACUCCGCCUGGGGAGUACNACCGCAAGGUUG
Molecule: ribosomal RNA, 548 nt
Filed under: uncultured bacterium
Lineage: Bacteria
Description: bacterial SSU rRNA
Rfam family: Bacterial small subunit ribosomal RNA
Source: RNAcentral